This 421-nucleotide ribosomal RNA is filed under the name uncultured bacterium. RNAcentral describes it as "bacterial SSU rRNA". It matches the Rfam family "Bacterial small subunit ribosomal RNA", at positions 46 to 507 of the family's 1533-position model. The record is from RNAcentral.
ACUUAACACAUGACAAGUACGAACGGUUGUAGACAAUACAGCAGGUGGCAGGACGGGUGAGUAACACGUGGGAACCUUCCUAGGGGUACGGAACAACUCAGGGAAACUUGAGCUAGUACCGUAUACGUCCGUGAGGAGAAAGAUUUAUCGCCCUUAGACGGGCCCGCGUCGGAUUAGCUAGUUGGUGGGUAACGGCCUACCAAGGCGACGAUCCGUAGCUGAUCUUAGAGGAUGAUCAGCCACACUGGGACUGAGACACGGCCCAGACUCCUACGGGAGGCAGCAGUGGGGAAUCUUGGACAAUGGGCGCAAGCCUGAUCCAGCCAUGCCGCGUGAGUGAAGAAGGUCUUCGGAUUGUAAAGCUCUUUUGCCAGGGACGAUAAUGACGGUACCUGGAGAAUAAGCCCCGGCAAACUUCGUG